CAGGACCUCGAUCGGCCGAGAUGGCGACGCCGAACGGGCUUGCGCGGAUCGAGACGACCGGGAAGAAGAAGCAGGACAACGGCGUGUGGUACGACGACAGCUCGGCGCCGGUGCGCGCGCAGACCAUCGACGAGCUGCACUCGCUGCAGCGGAAGCGGUCGGCGCCCAGCACGCCCAAGCGGUCGGCGCCCACCACGCCCAUCAAGGGCGGUGCCCACUCGCCCUUCGCCGUCGCGAUCUCCGAGGAGGAGCGCCACACGCAGCAGAUGCAGUCCAUCAGGUGACGUUCGUCCUUUCUCGGCUAGCAGCCGCCUUAUUGAUUCUGCCGCCACUAGGCACUAUAGCUAAGUAGCUAGCCUGCCGCUAUAAACGAAUUGGUGAAAACGAUUUCUCGAUUUGGUUGGGUUUGGUUCAUUACUGAAUAAUAAUAGCUUAACGACAAUGGCCACCAACCCAGGAACAUGAAAGGUAAGCGGAGAUGAGUUCCUUUACCAUUUUGGGAAAGGAAAAAAAAAGACAAAAUAAUUUGGCGUCUGCAGGACUUCCUCUGGGAGAAGAAGGAACGGAACAAAACCAGAGAGCUCUGCCACCGACGUCAGAGCCCGGCCCGUUUACGUUGACAAUACACUGCCUCGUGGGCCCUCUUGAGAUAGCACUUGGUGUGAGUUGUGGACUUCAUUAGAAAAAAAAAGUAAAAGGAUGGAGAAGAUAGAAAUAGGUAAAAACAAAAGGGUGACGCACGAAACGAACAAGCAUGCACGCAGCUUGACGCGACACCACGGUCGCCGUCGGCCACGCAACGUGCUGCUUUAUCUCUGCAGGGAACCUAGUAAUCCUUCCCGAAAAUCUGUACGUCCUUCGGGGGUCGGCUGUGUCCUCCCGGUCUCGCGCAUCACUAACCAUUUUUGGUGCUGAUAAUCGGGAGCGUAGCGUAAUUACCACUAAACUUUUUUUUCCC
Molecule: long non-coding RNA, 958 nt
Filed under: Zea mays
Lineage: Eukaryota; Viridiplantae; Streptophyta; Magnoliopsida; Poales; Poaceae
Description: long non-coding RNA (ZMAY_LNC000586)
Source: RNAcentral